GCCCUCUGCCUGUGGGAACGGCGGGUGGGCGCCGGGAGGUGAGCGGAAGGGGUCUGUCGCGCGCUGCCCCGCGGCUCCCCGUCGCGCUCUGUGUUCGCUAGAACGCGGGCAGCUCCUAUAGGGCCGGCGUGCGGAGAAUUAUGAGGAAGUCCGUUAAUGAAUAACGUGUGCCACUGAUCGCAAGCAGGCUCCCGUCUGCUACUCGGCUGGCCGUUAGAACCGGCUGAGGGCCUACUGGAGCCCACAGAGUUAAGGAGGGCACCCCGGCCCUCGGCCAUACCCGGCGGCGGGGCAGCGCUCCCCCUCAGCUCGGCCUCCGCCCGCAGCCUUUCCCGCGCCGCCUGCCGAGCCGCCCCGCCGCGCUCUGGAGGCAGGUGCGUACCUUCCGGUCCUUGUGGUACCGACUCAUACUGUGUUCGCUAGCAGCAACACUAGCAGGUUUGCUGCUGGAAGAAAAAAAAAUAUGAUUACAUUUGUCAUAGCAACAGCCUCUGACUGUAACAGCAGGCAGACCGGGUCAGGCUGCUGGGGAAGAGUACAGCACACCGGCCAGGCCUUCAACCUCACUGCAUGCCUGUGGCAGCAGCGUACAGCACCACUCCUCAGCCAUCAGGUUGGAAGGAAAGGUGAGCAAGGAGGGAUGCGGCAUUGGCACAGAUGGGGCCUUCAGGUCUCAUGAACAGGGAAAGAAUUGCCAACUGAUUCCUUACCAGGGUGUCUCUUACAGCUUCACAGUGUGGAACAUGCCAGUCUGACAUUAGUAGGAAUGUGAUUUGGUUCAAGUAAAACUGCCCUUAGUUACAUGAAGUUUAAUUUGCCUCCAUCUGGUCACACACAUGACUUACUUACCUCCUUAGCACCAGGUCAGAAGCUGGGGGAUUCCUGCUCUGAUGCUUUUUUUUUUUUUAGCUGUGAGGCUUUAGGUGAAAGGAUUACAGCACACUGUCAGGAUAAAAAUAAGACGAUUGUAACAUGCUCUGGCUUUUGGCAUCGUGUGCUGCUUUGAUUAAAAGAAAGGCUACAGAAAGGCUGGUGUAAGAAUCAGUUAUGGUAUUCUGGCAGGGAUUAGUCUUAAGGAAAGAUGCAUAUCUGGAAACCAAAUGUUAGGAGGUCACAAAGUAUUAAAUCUUGCAGAUUUUUGAAGACACUCAUACUUUAAGAUUCAGGAAUAGACUAUGACUGCUUUUUGAAUAAUAUAAUCACUGCCAGACUCACUCUGAAGAAUAAAUCAGAAAAUUAAUUAGCAAGAUUUGGCACUCCUGCAAAAGCAAUCCUGGCUUUAAUAACACUCUUGCAGUGAGAGUGUUUUCUUCUCUUCCUAUUCAGCAGGCCCAGAUGGCUGUGCUUUCUGCAUCACUUCCCUCUACAGUUCAGUAGUUUGCACAAGCUUAGCGAGAUUACAGGCAUGCAACAGAAAGGUGACACCAGGAAACUACAGAGCAGACAUUUAAAUGUUUUGCUGAAUAAUCUCAAGUAAUUACUUCAUUUAGUGUUCUGUGUCAAUCCUUGGAAGGAGAGGCUGAGAGUAAUCAUGAAAUGUGGUUCUCCCAUAUGGCAGGCGAGGACAUAAACUUUUCUGUUAAGACUGGAUCAAAACAGUUCCUGGCAUAUGUUCAUUAGGGGAUAUAUUUUUCACUUAGUGCAUGAGAUCUUAGUCAUUUGUAAGAGCAGCCACUUUAUUCCAGCACUGCAGUGUUUAGUUAUUCUUUAAGUACUCUUUAUGUCCAGGCUUUGCUAGAUGAUAAAGAGUAAGGCAAUUUCAGCCUUUUUCAGUUUAUCCCUUAAACACCGAAUACCCAAUGAAGCCUUGGUAAAUGCAAAGCCCAUGGCAUUCUGCAUGUGCAAAUGCAAAGGGAUAUUCUAAAGACCAGGGAGUAGAUGCAGAAAUGUAACAGAGGUAGAACAUAAAUCAUACUGAUGUAUUUACUGAAACAUUUUUCCAUUCGCUCAUGCCUUUCUAUUCUGCAGUUCACACACUAUUCAUUUUUGUAUGACAAUACCACAUCUCAAAUGCAAAAGCAGUUGAAGUUACGCUUAUUUAUUGCUACCUGUUAAUAUUUGCUUCCUAUCCAGCCAUGUAAAGAUUGGAGAGACAGAAAUCCACUGAUGAUUAUACACAUGCACUGUUUAUCACUCAGUGUUAAAGGUAAAUGUGGCCUUAUAACUGCAUACCAUCACUUUCAGUUCUGUGACAACUUAACACUCACCGCAUACUAACUAUGACUCAGGAGAAAACUAAGAGCUGCUAUGUGUACUGAAGCAUUCAGGAAUUUUGGACAAGCAAUAUUUGAAUAAUAAGGAUAAUAGGAAACUACAGAAAAAUCUACAUUCUUCAAGGUUUGUCUGUGGAACAGAAUGAAGAUCUGGGGACACAAUCUUCAGACCUAAACUCUUCCUCAUGUUCCUUUCAGAGUGAGAUUCUUUCCUUCUCCUCCUGUAAACUUCUCUGAACUCAAAUUUAAUCAGUGGAUAAUAUUUAAGGAUAAAAUAAAAGUUAUUUCUUAUUGCAUUCAAAUUCUUACUCAUGUUAGUGCUUCUAGUGAAUAAAUAGGUGGAGCCAUCUCUUACUGAGAAAGCAAACAAAGCCUGUUAAGGAUUCCCCUGUGGCUUCACUUCUUAUAAGUCCUUAAUCAGGAGGAAGCAGCAUCUUCUAGGCAGUGAGUUUCAUUUCAAGGCCAUACUUAUAUUUCUAGAUCUAGACUGCUACAGCAGCAGCAUGCACUUCUCUUGCUGCCUACUUUCAUUCUUGGGUUGGCAAAGCCAUUUCUGUUAUUGUGUAAAGAACUCGAACAAUAAUUUGAACUAUAAACUAAUCAUACUACAUUUUUUCUCUGGGUUAGGUUAGAGGCAGUCCAAUCCUUUCAUCAGUAGCUUGGAUUUAUGCCAAAAUUGAAGUGGCUAUUUCUAACCACUGAAGCUUUUAUCUUACUUAAACAUAUCUGUAUCAAAAAAUGUAUUUUAUUACAGAUAGAUAAGUGACAAACACAUGUGAGUCAUUACUAGCUCUUCACUGAGAUGAGAUUCUACUAUUAUUAAACAUUCAGAGAUGCUGAUUAAGUUGGGAUAAAAGCCCUCCAGUCUUUGCUUUGGGAGACAGUGUCUACUAGCUUUUCUGGUAUGUUGUUUAAAAUUCAAGAUAUACUAGAAAACUUAAAUGCUUACAGUAAAUAAGUUCUAAUAACAUGUUUACAGUAAAUAGGUCUCCACAGAUUGAGAAUAAAAAUCUUUAUAAAUUUGAUUUCUUUAUGAAUUAGAGGACUGAGAGAACUCCAAAGAUAUUCCAUUCAGAAGAUUUGAAAAUAAGCACUACCUUUUUAAUGGUCAUUCAUAAACAAAUACUGAAACAACAGUUUGCAUUUUUAUCAUUGUUUGAAAGCCUACAAAAACACAGUUUGGAUUCAAUCAAAUAAAACAAAGUUUCUUUUGUACACAA
Gallus gallus (chicken) is the source of this 3433-nucleotide long non-coding RNA. RefSeq lists it as uncharacterized. The record is from RefSeq and is a predicted model, not a curated record. NCBI's taxonomy places the organism in Eukaryota, Metazoa, Chordata, Aves, Galliformes, Phasianidae. The transcript is spliced from 2 exons.